Molecule: ribosomal RNA, 253 nt
Filed under: uncultured bacterium
Lineage: Bacteria
Description: partial 16S ribosomal RNA
Rfam family: Bacterial small subunit ribosomal RNA
Source: RNAcentral
UACAGAGGUCUCAAGCGUUGUUCGGAUUCAUUGGGCGUAAAGGGUGCGUAGGUGGCGCCAUAAGUCAGGUGUGAAAUCUCGAGGCUUAACCUCGAGAUGUCAUCGGAAACUAUUCGGCUAGAGUCCGGAAGAGGAGAGUGGAAUUCCUGGUGUAGCGGUGAAAUGCGCAGAUAUCAGGAAGAACACCCAUGGCGAAAGCAGCUCUCUGGGACGGUACUGACGCUGAGACGCGAAAGCGUGGGGAGCGAACAGG